RNAcentral lists this long non-coding RNA (303 nucleotides) under Homo sapiens (human). Its description in RNAcentral is "HSALNT0072068". Lineage: Eukaryota; Metazoa; Chordata; Mammalia; Primates; Hominidae. The record is from RNAcentral.
CCCAGGGCCUGCUCAUGCUUUCCUUUCUCUUGAGAGAACUGAAAUGGACAGGACAAAUGACUGGCUCAAGGUCACACUGCAGCUGUGGGAACUAAAAAUCCUCCUCCAUCUCCAGGGCUGGACCUGUUACCUCCUGGCUUCUCCCUGUUCUUGGCUUGCGUCUUUCCCCCUCAUCACAGAGCACAGCAUGCUGAAGGGAGGCCAGCAGGACUUAAUUUGGUCAUGAAAUUUCUAAGUUUACUCAUUCAUAAUCUCAUGGUGUAAUGGAAAUAAAGGCCCCAGACUCAGACUAUCUGGUUUCUG